UUUAGGAGCUAAGCGACGAGCGGCGCAAUGGAUGCCAGGAGGAUGCAGAAUUCCAGCAGCCAUGGAACGAAGCAGAUGACGCCCGAUGCGACGUAUGCCUUGGCUCUGGCACCAAUACUUAAGUUCACGUCGGGGUCAUCAGUAACUGCGAAACCACCAAGCACAGGAUGCGGUGAAGCGAAGGAUGUUCUGCUCCUGAACGUGACACCAGCGGCCAUGCCACCUGGAGCUGGAGCAUCUGGACAUGUCGCCAUUCGUGGUCUGCAACAAUUCUUCAGCAGUGUCCACCACCAAAUAACGACGCACCACAAGGGCGGUGUCAAGAACCAGUCGACUUACCUCGUGGACAUUAUGCCUGGUGUACUCAGCAAACCAAUGAGGAACCGCCUGUCGGAAUGAAGGCAAUAUUCGGUGCGUGGCUGAUCGUCAUCGCAGGAUUCCGGAGAACAAACGGCCCCGCUGUGCACUACUACCGGUAUUGGCCCAAGCAAGAGGCCCCGUUUCUACCAGAAAGUUCGCCUUCGUGCAUGGCGUUCACCUCCAGCGUUUCCCGGUAAACAUUACGUUUGCAUAAGCUGCCGUUGCCGGGAAGCGUGAUAAGCAGUCGGGGAUCUUUGAAUGCUAUGGCGUCGUACCCUUAAAGGCGAAGUUCAAGGAUCCUCCAAGUUUUUCUUUUUGGUAUGACUGCUCGUACUAUAUCUUAUCGCUUUACAGUUCCAGUUAUUGCAUUACCUACCCACAUGAUCUUGACCUGCGUGUUCUAAAAGCAAUGCUCUUGUUGCUGUAUCUGAGAGCGACUUCAGAUGGAAGCUCUAAGUGCUUUCGCGGCAUCAGUCGUGCUGUACUCCUAGGAAAAAAAAAUUUCUGCGUCCUAUACAAAUAUUGGCCGCAAUGCAUACUACUGUGUAGGUCAGCGUCACCACCGCCAAGUUGGCCUUUUUCUUGGCGCAAAAGUUAAGCGAAUAAAGCAC
Molecule: RNA transcript, 971 nt
Organism: Dermacentor andersoni
Lineage: Eukaryota; Metazoa; Arthropoda; Arachnida; Ixodida; Ixodidae
Source: RefSeq, a predicted model, not a curated record